AUGGCAACCACCAGCGGCGCCUGCCUGCCUCUCCUGCUGCUCCUCCUGUCGCCGCUGAUCAUCUCCUCGUAUUCAGCGGCAGCGGCGGCGGCGGAAGCAGAAGCAGAGCAGCCGGUACAGGUACACGGCCUCCUGCUCAGCUUCAAGGACUCCCUGCACGACCCCGCCGGCGCCCUCGCCACCUGGUCCAGCUCCACGCCCUACUGCAACUGGUCGCACGUCACCUGCACGGACUCCUCCUCCGCUUCUUCCCCCGUCGCCGUCUCGCUCCAGCUCCAGGGUCUCGGCCUCUCCGGCGACAUCAACGCCACCGCGCUCUGCCGCGUCCCGGGCCUCGCCGGCCUCCGCCUCGCGUCCAACGCCUUCAACCAGACCGUCCCGCUGCAGCUCUCGCGCUGCGCCUCGCUCGCCUCCCUCAACCUCAGCUCCGGCGCCUUCUGGGGCCCGCUGCCGGAGCAGCUCGCCGCGCUCGCCUCGCUCACGUCGCUCGACCUCAGCGGCAACGACAUCGAGGGGACCGUGCCGCCGGGCCUCGCGGCGCUGCGGGGGCUCCAGGUGCUCAACCUGCGCGGCAACCGCCUCUCCGGCGUGCUCCACCCGGCGCUCUUCCGCAACCUCACCAGCCUCCACUACCUGGACCUGUCCGGUAACCAGUUCUUGGAGUCCCAGCUGCCGCCGGAGCUCGGCGGGAUGGCCAGCCUCAGGUGGCUCUUCCUGCAGGGGUCAGGGUUUAGCGGCGAGAUACCCGAGACCUUCCUUGGGCUGGAGCAGCUGGAGGCUCUCGAUCUGUCCAUGAACAGCUUGACCGGAGCCGUUCCUCCGGGGUUCGGCCUCAAGUUUCAGAAGCUGCUGUCUCUGGAUUUGUCGCGCAAUGGCUUCUCCGGGCCGUUCCCCAACGGCGUCGACAAGUGCCUCAUGCUGCAGAGGUUCGAGGUGCAGGGCAACGCCUUCACCGGGGAGCUCCCCGCCGGCCUCUGGUCGCUGCCGGACUUGCAGGUCAUCCGCGCCGAGAACAACCGUUUCUCCGGCCGGCUGCCCGAGUUCCCCGGCGGCGUGUCUCGGCUGGAGCAGGUUCAGGUUGACAACAACAGCUUCUCCGGCGCGAUACCUCAGAGCAUCGGCCUGAUCCGCACCAUGUACCGCUUCUCCGCCUCGCUGAACGAGCUCAACGGCAGCUUGCCGGACAACCUGUGCGACUCCCCGGCGAUGAGCAUCAUCAACAUCUCCCACAAUGCCAUCUCUGGCUCCAUCCCUGACUUCAACAACUGCAAGAGGCUGGUAUCCUUGUCUCUGUCCGGCAACGGUCUCACCGGGACGAUACCAGCCUCCCUCGGGGACUUGCCGGUGCUGACCUACAUCGACCUGUCCAGUAAUGGCCUCACCGGCGCCAUUCCGGCGGAGCUCCAGAACCUGAAGCUUGCGUUGCUCAACGUCUCGUACAACCGGCUCUCCGGCCGAGUGCCACCGGAGCUGGUCUCCGGCCUUCCCGCCGUGUUUCUUGAAGGGAACCCAGGCCUGUGCGGUCCCGGGUUGCCGAGCGAUUGUGAUGCGCCAUUGAGAAAGCAUCAGGGGCUAGCACUGGCUGCGACGGUGGCCUCCCUCGUUACAGGAUUGGCGCUGUUGGCAGUAGGGGUAUUUGCAGUUUGCAGAAGGAUACAUGGCAACAGGUCCUCCUCCCCAUGGAAGCUGGUGCUUUUCCACCCAAUCAAGAUCACCGGAGAGGACUUGUUCGCCGCGUUCCAUGACAAGAAUGUGAUCGGAAGAGGAGCAUUUGGAAAGGUCCAUCUGAUUGAGCUACAAGACGGGCAAAAAGUCGCGGUGAAGCGGCUGUUCAGUUCGGGCAAGCUGACAUUCAGAGAAGUGAAGAAUGAGAUGAAAGCGCUGGCGAAAAUCCGGCACAAGAAUGUUGCCAAGAUCGCAGGCUUCUGCUACUCGGAAGGGGAGGUCAGCGUCAUAUAUGAAUACUUUCAGAGAGGAAGCUUACAGGAUAUGAUCUGUGCGCCGAAAUUCGCGGUGGGAUGGAACGACAGGCUGAAGAUUGCACUGGGUGUAGCUCAAGGAUUGGCUUAUCUUCACCAUGACUAUACUCCUCGCAUGUUGCAUCGCGAUCUGAAGUCGAGCAAUGUGCUACUCGCCGAUGAAUUUGAGCCCAGGGUCGCCGGGUUUGGGAUUCAUCGUGUCGUUGGGGAAAAGGCGUACCGAUCUUCCUUGGAUUCGGAUUUGAAUGACAAGUGCUACAUCGCGCCAGAGCAAAACUUCACAAAGAACCCGACGAACCUCAUGGACGUCUACAGCUUUGGGGUCAUUCUCCUGGAGCUGGUCACCGGAAGGCCAGCAGAGCAGCCGGCGUCCAAGGACUGCUCGGACAUUGUUAGCUGGGUGCGGAGGCGGAUCAACCUGAUCGACGGCGCAUCGCAGAUACUCGACCCCAGCAUUCCCCGCACGGAGCAACAGGGCAUGAAGGCUGCCCUGGAGCUCGCGGUGGGCUGCACGUCGGUGAAGCCUGACCAGAGGCCGGACAUGUAUGAAGUUGUGAGGUCGCUCCAGGCGCUGUAG
Molecule: ribosomal RNA, 2556 nt
Filed under: Triticum aestivum (bread wheat)
Lineage: Eukaryota; Viridiplantae; Streptophyta; Magnoliopsida; Poales; Poaceae
Description: partial small subunit ribosomal RNA
Source: RNAcentral